RNAcentral lists this ribosomal RNA (1824 nucleotides) under Shigella flexneri. RNAcentral describes it as "partial 23S ribosomal RNA". It matches the Rfam family "Bacterial large subunit ribosomal RNA", at positions 1054 to 2857 of the family's 2925-position model. The record is from RNAcentral. RNAcentral also lists the same sequence under 1 other name. Lineage: Bacteria; Pseudomonadati; Pseudomonadota; Gammaproteobacteria; Enterobacterales; Enterobacteriaceae.
CAUGGUUAAGUGGGAAACGAUGUGGGAAGGCCCAGACAGCCAGGAUGUUGGCUUAGAAGCAGCCAUCAUUUAAAGAAAGCGUAAUAGCUCACUGGUCGAGUCGGCCUGCGCGGAAGAUGUAACGGGGCUAAACCAUGCACCGAAGCUGCGGCAGCGACGCUUAUGCGUUGUUGGGUAGGGGAGCGUUCUGUAAGCCUGUGAAGGUGUGCUGUGAGGUAUGCUGGAGGUAUCAGAAGUGCGAAUGCUGACAUAAGUAACGAUAAAGCGGGUGAAAAGCCCGCUCGCCGGAAGACCAAGGGUUCCUGUCCAACGUUAAUCGGGGCAGGGUGAGUCGACCCCUAAGGCGAGGCCGAAAGGCGUAGUCGAUGGGAAACAGGUUAAUAUUCCUGUACUUGGUGUUACUGCGAAGGGGGGACGGAGAAGGCUAUGUUGGCCGGGCGACGGUUGUCCCGGUUUAAGCGUGUAGGCUGGUUUUCCAGGCAAAUCCGGAAAAUCAAGGCCGAGGCGUGAUGACGAGGCACUACGGUGCUGAAGCAACAAAUGCCCUGCUUCCAGGAAAAGCCUCUAAGCAUCAGGUAACAUCAAAUCGUACCCCAAACCGACACAGGUGGUCAGGUAGAGAAUACCAAGGCGCUUGAGAGAACUCGGGUGAAGGAACUAGGCAAAAUGGUGCCGUAACUUCGGGAGAAGGCACGCUGAUACGUAGGUGAAGCGACUUGCUCGUGGAGCUGAAAUCAGUCGAAGAUACCAGCUGGCUGCAACUGUUUAUUAAAAACACAGCACUGUGCAAACACGAAAGUGGACGUAUACGGUGUGACGCCUGCCCGGUGCCGGAAGGUUAAUUGAUGGGGUUAGCGCAAGCGAAGCUCUUGAUCGAAGCCCCGGUAAACGGCGGCCGUAACUAUAACGGUCCUAAGGUAGCGAAAUUCCUUGUCGGGUAAGUUCCGACCUGCACGAAUGGCGUAAUGAUGGCCAGGCUGUCUCCACCCGAGACUCAGUGAAAUUGAACUCGCUGUGAAGAUGCAGUGUACCCGCGGCAAGACGGAAAGACCCCGUGAACCUUUACUAUAGCUUGACACUGAACAUUGAGCCUUGAUGUGUAGGAUAGGUGGGAGGCUUUGAAGUGUGGACGCCAGUCUGCAUGGAGCCGACCUUGAAAUACCACCCUUUAAUGUUUGAUGUUCUAACGUGGACCCGUGAUCCGGGUUGCGGACAGUGUCUGGUGGGUAGUUUGACUGGGGCGGUCUCCUCCUAAAGAGUAACGGAGGAGCACGAAGGUUGGCUAAUCCUGGUCGGACAUCAGGAGGUUAGUGCAAUGGCAUAAGCCAGCUUGACUGCGAGCGUGACGGCGCGAGCAGGUGCGAAAGCAGGUCAUAGUGAUCCGGUGGUUCUGAAUGGAAGGGCCAUCGCUCAACGGAUAAAAGGUACUCCGGGGAUAACAGGCUGAUACCGCCCAAGAGUUCAUAUCGACGGCGGUGUUUGGCACCUCGAUGUCGGCUCAUCACAUCCUGGGGCUGAAGUAGGUCCCAAGGGUAUGGCUGUUCGCCAUUUAAAGUGGUACGCGAGCUGGGUUUAGAACGUCGUGAGACAGUUCGGUCCCUAUCUGCCGUGGGCGCUGGAGAACUGAGGGGGGCUGCUCCUAGUACGAGAGGACCGGAGUGGACGCAUCACUGGUGUUCGGGUUGUCAUGCCAAUGGCACUGCCCGGUAGCUAAAUGCGGAAGAGAUAAGUGCUGAAAGCAUCUAAGCACGAAACUUGCCCCGAGAUGAGUUCUCCCUGACCCUUUAAGGGUCCUGAAGGAACGUUGAAGACGACGACGUUGAU